Molecule: ribosomal RNA, 253 nt
Filed under: uncultured bacterium
Lineage: Bacteria
Description: partial 16S ribosomal RNA
Rfam family: Bacterial small subunit ribosomal RNA
Source: RNAcentral
UACGGAGGGUGCAAGCGUUAUCCGGAUUUACUGGGUUUAAAGGGUGCGUAGGUGGGCCUGUAAGUCAGUGGUGAAAUCUUCAAGCUUAACUUGGAAACUGCCAUUGAUACUAUAGGUCUUGAAUUAUCUGGAGGUAAGCGGAAUAUGUCAUGUGGCGGUGAAAUGCUUAGAGAUGACAUAGAACACCCAUUGCGAAGGCAGCUUACUACGGAUUGAUUGACACUGAGGCACGAAAGCGUGGGGAUCAAACAGG